GGCAGCAGCUAAGAAUAUUCCGCAAUGGACGAAAGUCUGACGGAGCGACGCCGCGUGGAUGAUGAAGGCCGGAAGGUUGUAAAAUCCUUUUAUGACUGAGGAAUAAGUUCUCUGAGAGAAACGGAGGAUGGUGACUGUAGGUCAUGAAUAAGCAACGGCUAAUUACGUGCCAGCAGCCGCGGUAACACGUAAGUUGCGAGCGUUGUUCGGAAUUAUUGGGCGUAAAGGGCAUGUAGGCGGUUAUGCAAGUCUGGUGUGAAAUGCCGGGGCUUAACCCCGGAACUGCGUUGGAAACUGCAUAACUUGAGUCGCUGAGGGGCAGCCAGAAUUCCAGGUGUAGGGGUGAAAUCUGUAGAUAUCUGGAAGAAUACCAAUGGUGAAGGCAGGCUGCCAGCAGAUGACUGACGCUGAGGUGCGAAGGUGCGGGGAGCAAACAGGAUUAGAUACCCUGGUAGUCCGCACAGUCAACUAUGUACACUAGGUGUCCGCACAUGAGUGUGGGUGCCGAAGCAAACGCGAUAAGUGUACCGCCUGGGGAGUAUGCCCGCAAGGGUGAAACUCAAAGGAAUUGACGG
This 575-nucleotide ribosomal RNA is filed under the name uncultured rumen bacterium. RNAcentral describes it as "bacterial SSU rRNA". It matches the Rfam family "Bacterial small subunit ribosomal RNA", at positions 347 to 916 of the family's 1533-position model. The record is from RNAcentral.